AACGUUCACAAGAACCAAAACCGGAAAAACGUUAGACUACUUAGUAGAGUCCUAACAGUAUGAUAUUGCAACCAGUACUUUUUCUUAUUCAAUCGAACAAAGAGCAAAACCUAAUUAUAUUGUUCUAUUAUACCCCGAGAGUGUAAAUUUGGAACGAAUCGAUGUCAACGUUCACAAGACCCAAAACCGGAACAACAUUAGACUACUCAGUUGCGCCUUAACAGUUAAACUUUGCAACGAGUACUUUUUCUAAUUCUAUCGAAUAAGGAGUAAAAGCUUUCUAUUAUACCCCGAGAGUGUAAAUUUGGAACGAAUCGAUGUCAACGUUCAUAAGAACCAAAACCGAAGCAACGCUAGACUAUUCAGUUGAGCCCUAACAGUGUCACUUUGCAACUAGUAUUUUUUCUUAUUCAAUCGAACAAAGAGCAAAACCUAAUUAUAAUGUUCUAUUAUACCCCAAGAGUUUUAUUUUAGAACGAACCGAUGUCAACGUUCACAAGAACCAAAACCGGAACAACAUUAGACUACUCAGUGGCGCCAUAACAGUAUAACUUAGCGACGAGUAUCUUUUCUCGUUCAAUCGAAUAAAGCGUAAAACCGAAUAAUAUUGUUCUAUUAUGCCGCGAGAGUGUAAAUUUGGAACGAAUCGAUGUCAACGUUCACAAAAACCAAAACCCGAACAACAUUAGACUGCUCUGUUGCGCCAUAACAGUAUAACCUUGCAACGAGUACCUUUUUCUCAGUCUACCGAAAAAAGAGUAAAAGCUUUCUCUUAUGCCCCGAGAGUGUAAAUUUGGAACGAAUCGAUGCCAACGUUCACAAGAACCAAAACCGGAAGAACGUUAGACUACUCAGUUGAGCCCUAACAGUAUAACUUUGCAACUAGUAUUUUUUCUCAUUCAAUCGAACAAAAAGCAAAACCUAAUUAUAUUGUUCUAUUAU
Molecule: long non-coding RNA, 942 nt
Filed under: Ananas comosus (pineapple)
Lineage: Eukaryota; Viridiplantae; Streptophyta; Magnoliopsida; Poales; Bromeliaceae
Description: long non-coding RNA (ACOM_LNC040421)
Source: RNAcentral